Molecule: unclassified non-coding RNA, 336 nt
Filed under: soil metagenome
Description: partial contains 5.8S ribosomal RNA, internal transcribed spacer 2, and large subunit ribosomal RNA
Rfam family: 5.8S ribosomal RNA (bases 1-120)
Source: RNAcentral
GAUGAAGAACGUAGUGAAAUGCGAUAAGUAAUGUGAAUUGCAGAAUUCAGUGAAUCAUCGAAUCUUUGAACGCACAUUGCGCCCGCCAGUAUUCUGGCGGGCAUGCCUGUUCGAGCGUCAUUUCAACCAUCAAGCCCCCGGCUUGUGUUGGGGACCUGCGGCUGCCGCAGGCCCUGAAAAGCAGUGGCGGGCUCGCUGUCACACCGAGCGUAGUAGCAUACAUCUCGCUCUGGGCGUGCUGCGGGUUCCGGCCGUUUAACCACCUUCAUAACCCAAGGUUGACCUCGGAUCAGGUAGGAAGACCCGCUGAACUUAAGCAUAUCAAUAAGCGGAGGA